Molecule: ribosomal RNA, 520 nt
Filed under: uncultured bacterium
Lineage: Bacteria
Description: bacterial SSU rRNA
Rfam family: Bacterial small subunit ribosomal RNA
Source: RNAcentral
AAUGAACGCUGGCGGCGUGCUUAACACAUGCAAGUCGAACGAGAACGGAAGACUUCGGUUUUCUUAGUAAAGUGGCGCACGGGUGAGUAACGCGUGGGUAAUCUACCCGAAGGUCUGGGAUAACGUUCCGAAAGGGGCACUAAUACCGGAUGAGACCACAUGCGCUUCGGUGCAAGGGGUCAAAGGUGCUUUAGGGCACUGCCUGCGGAUGAGCCUGCGUGACAUUAGAUUGAUGGUAGGGUAAUGGCCUACCAUAUUGUCUACGAUGUCUAGCUGGUCUGAGAGGAUGAUCAGCCACACUGGGACUGGAACACGGCCCAGACUCCUACGGGAGGCAGCAGUGAGGAAUUUUGCGCAAUGGGGGCAACCCUGACGCAGCAACGCCGCGUGAGUGAUGAAGGCCUUUUGGUUGUAAAGCUCUGUCGCCUGGAAAGAAACCGCAGAUCAGGAAAUGGGUUUGCGCUGACGGUACCAGGAAAGGAAGGACCGGCUAACUCCGUGCCAGCCGCCGCGGUAAUAC